CGGUGAUUAGCGCAGCUUGGUUUGGGUCCAAGGGGUCGCAAGUUCGAAUCUUGCAUCACCGACCA
This 65-nucleotide transfer RNA is filed under the name Colwellia psychrerythraea. RNAcentral's name for it is "tRNA-Ser". It matches the Rfam family "tRNA". From Rfam's summary of the family: Transfer RNA (tRNA) molecules are approximately 80 nucleotides in length. Their secondary structure includes four short double-helical elements and three loops (D, anti-codon, and T loops). The record is from RNAcentral. Lineage: Bacteria; Pseudomonadati; Pseudomonadota; Gammaproteobacteria; Alteromonadales; Colwelliaceae.